Molecule: ribosomal RNA, 253 nt
Filed under: uncultured bacterium
Lineage: Bacteria
Description: partial 16S ribosomal RNA
Rfam family: Bacterial small subunit ribosomal RNA
Source: RNAcentral
UACGAAGGGGGCUAGCGUUGUUCGGAAUUACUGGGCGUAAAGCGUACGCAGGUGGACUGAUAAGUCAGGGGUGAAAUCCCGGAGCUUAACUCCGGAAUUGCCUUUGAUACUGUCUGUCUCGAGUUCGGGAGAGGUUAACGGAAUUCCUAGUGUAGAGGUGAAAUUCGUAGAUAUUCGGAAGAACACCAGUGGCGAAGGCGGCUCACUGGCUCGAUACUGUCGCUGAGGUGCGAAAGCGUGGGGAGCAAACAGG